Molecule: transfer RNA, 69 nt
Filed under: Urocitellus parryii (Arctic ground squirrel)
Lineage: Eukaryota; Metazoa; Chordata; Mammalia; Rodentia; Sciuridae
Also listed under: 1 other name
Description: Spermophilus parryii (Arctic ground squirrel) tRNA
Rfam family: tRNA
About the family: Transfer RNA (tRNA) molecules are approximately 80 nucleotides in length. Their secondary structure includes four short double-helical elements and three loops (D, anti-codon, and T loops).
Source: Rfam by way of RNAcentral
GGAGUUGUGGCUCAGUGGUAGAGCACUUGCCUGGCAUGUGUGAGGCCCUAGGUUCAAUCUUCAGCACCA